CGCCUGUGGACCGGGCCGUGGGCGGGAGCCUCGGCCAGCACCUUCUCAGGCCGCUCCCUGUUGGGCUGGCCGGGACCGGACCGUGGUCAGCACCUCCCCAGGCCGCUCCCUGGAGGGCACUGGCCAGGACGGGACCGUGGUCAGCACCUCCCUGUUGGGCUGUCCGGGACUGGACUGUGGUCAGCAGCUCCAAAGGCCGCUCCCUGUUGGGCUGCCCGGGACGGGACCGUGGUCAGCACCUCCCCAGGUCGCUCCCUGGAGGGCUGCCCGGGACGGGACCGUGGUCAGCACCUCCCCAGGUCGCUCCCUGGAGGGCUGCCCGGGACGGGACCGUGGUCAGCACCUCCCUGUUGGGCUGGCCGGGACCGGAACGUGGUCAGCACCUCCCCAGCUCGCUCCCUGAAGGGCUGCCCGGGACGGGACCGUGGUCAGCACCUCCCCAGGCCGCUCCCUGGAGGGCACUGCCCGGGACCGGACCGUGGUCAGCACCUCCCUGGAGGGCUGCCCGGGACGGGACCGUGGUCAGCACCUCCCCAGGCCGCUCCCUGGAGGGCACUGGCCAGGACUGGACCGUGGUCAGCACCUCCCUGUUGGGCUGCCCGGGACUGGACUGUGGUCAGCAGCUCCCCGGCCGCUCCCUGGAGGGCACUGGCCGGGACUGGACUGUGGUCAGCACCUCCCUGGCCGCUCCCUGGAGGGCACAGGCCCGCGUUUCGGCUCUGGGGCCUCGCAGGACCGUCCCGGGCGGUCUGCGGGGAGCGAGCCCAGGCCACGAAGCACUUCCGGGGAGCCAGGGCGCCGAGCGGCCACGUGCGAGCCGAGUGUAGAGGGGAGACGCCACCUGGCCGGGCGCGGAGUCGGGUGGCGGAGCGUUCGUUUACAGUGAGAAGUGCCCGGAUGUGGAGGGUCUUUUUGAGAGAGUCACAGCCCUGCGGCCUCGGGCGGGUGGAGAUGGGGGACAGGACCGCCGUCCUGGUCUGCACUUCCGGGGCCGGCGGCCGCCUCCUCAGAGUCACCUCUCCCGAGGCCCCAGCAGUACCGGGGCGCAUGCGCUCUCGCUCGCCGCCGCGCGCCCACUGCGCCAAUCAGAAGCCACCGGUCGUCCUAGGCCGCUUUGGGAGAGGGUCUUCUUGCCACCGUCCACUGACCAAUCGGCUGGUGACGUAG
Molecule: long non-coding RNA, 1167 nt
Filed under: Meriones unguiculatus (Mongolian gerbil)
Lineage: Eukaryota; Metazoa; Chordata; Mammalia; Rodentia; Muridae
Description: lncRNA (ENSMUGG00000023255.1)
Source: RNAcentral